UGGGGAAUUUUGCACAAUGGGGGAAACCCUGAUGCAGCGACGCCGCGUGAUUUAGAAGGCCUUCGGGUUGUAAAAAUCUUUUCUAUGGGAAGAAAAUGACAGUACCAUAGGAAUAAGGACCGGCUAAUUACGUGCCAGCAGCCGCGGUAAUACGUAAGGUCCGAGCGUUGUACGGAAUCAUUGGGCGUAAAGGGUACGUAGGCGGGUAAGCAAGUUAGCAGUGAAAUCCUAUAGCUCAACUAUAGUAAGCUUUUAAAACUGCUCAUCUUGAGGUAUGGAAGGGAAAGUGGAAUUCCUAGCGUAGCGGUGAAAUGCGCAGAUAUUAGGAGGAAUACCGGUGGCGAAGGCGACUUUCUGGCCAUAACCUGACGCUGAGGUACGAAAGCGUGGGUAGCAAACAGG
RNAcentral lists this ribosomal RNA (402 nucleotides) under bacterium. RNAcentral describes it as "partial 16S ribosomal RNA". It matches the Rfam family "Bacterial small subunit ribosomal RNA", at positions 355 to 776 of the family's 1533-position model. The record is from RNAcentral.